GAUGAAGAACGUAGCGAAAUGCGAUACGUAAUGUGAAUUGCAGAAUUCAGUGAAUCAUCGAAUCUUUGAACGCAUAUUGCGCUCUCUGGUAUUCCGGAGAGCAUGCUUGUUUGAGUAUCAGUAAACACCUCAACUCCCCUUUCUUUUUUUGAAAUGGGAGCUGGACUUGAGUGAUCCCAACGCUUUUCUCACCGAAAAGUGGCGGGUUACUUGAAAUGCAGGUGCAGCUGGACUUUUCUCUGAGCUAAAAGCAUAUCUAUUUAGUCUGCCUAAAAAACAGAUUAUUACCUUUGCUGCAGCUAACAUAAAGGAGAUUAGUUCUUGUGCUGACUGAUGCAGGAUUCACAGAGACAGCUUCGGCUGGCCUUUGUAAACUCGAUCUCAAAUCAAGUAAGACUACCCGCUGAACUUAAGCAUACAAUAAGCGGAGGA
RNAcentral lists this unclassified non-coding RNA (432 nucleotides) under soil metagenome. RNAcentral's name for it is "partial contains 5.8S ribosomal RNA, internal transcribed spacer 2, and large subunit ribosomal RNA". The stretch from base 1 to 120 matches the Rfam family "5.8S ribosomal RNA", at positions 35 to 154 of the family's 154-position model. The record is from RNAcentral.